GAUGAACGCUGGCGGCGUGCCUAAUACAUGCAAGUCGAGCGAACAGACGCGGAGCUUGCUCCUCUGACGUUAGCGGCGGACGGGUGAGUAACACGUGGAUAACCUACCUAUAAGACUGGGAUAACUUCGGGAAACCGGAGCUAAUACCGGAUAAUAUAUUGAACCGCAUGGUUCAAUAGUGAAAGACGGUUUUGCUGUCACUUAUAGAUGGAUCCGCGCCGCAUUAGCUAGUUGGUAAGGUAACGGCUUACCAAGGCAACGAUGCGUAGCCGACCUGAGAGGGUGAUCGGCCACACUGGAACGGGGACACGGUCCAGACGCCUAAGGGAGGGAGCAGUAGGGAAUCGUCCGCAAGGGGCGAAAGCCUGACGGAGCAACGCCGCGUGAGUGAUGAAGGUCUUCGGAGCGUAAAACUCUGUUAUUAGGGAAGAACAAAUGUGUAAGUAACUAUGCACGUCUUGACGGUACCGAGUCAGAAAGCCACGGCUAACUACGUG
This 497-nucleotide ribosomal RNA is filed under the name uncultured bacterium. RNAcentral describes it as "partial 16S ribosomal RNA". It matches the Rfam family "Bacterial small subunit ribosomal RNA", at positions 28 to 507 of the family's 1533-position model. The record is from RNAcentral.